CCUAAGUUGGUAGUAUAGAUCCAGAAGUCUUUGGAAAAAUUUGCACUUUGUAAUUAUAGCCCUUGGAGAGAAUGAGAUCCCUCCAGGUACUUAGUCUCUUGAGAAUUACAUCAAACAAGCCAAUUCCUAGACAAGAAUUUUCUCAGCAUAUAUUUAGAGGUGAACAAUAAAUAUAUUUGCUAUUGAAAGUAUAAAGAACUUCACGAGAAAUGGAGUAAGGAAAAAUUGAGAUGGAAAUAUAAGGAAUCCACACCCAGCAUGGAGCCCAACAUGGGGCAUGAACUCAUGACCUGAAGAUCAAGACCUAAGCUAAGAUCAAGAUUCCAGAGCUUAACCAACUGAACCACUCAGGUGCCCCUAAAUUUAUAAUCUUAAUAAAUAUUAAAGACUUUUUUCUUUUCAAAUUUUUUAUUUAAAUUCUAGUUAGUUAACAGACAGUGCAAUAUUGCACUGUCAGGAAUAGAAUUCACUGAUUCAUCACUUACAUACAACACCCAGCACUCAUCAUAACAAGUGUGUUUC
Long non-coding RNA from Neofelis nebulosa (Clouded leopard), 522 nucleotides. RefSeq lists it as uncharacterized. Lineage: Eukaryota; Metazoa; Chordata; Mammalia; Carnivora; Felidae. The record is from RefSeq and is a predicted model, not a curated record. The transcript has 3 exons.